This 468-nucleotide ribosomal RNA is filed under the name uncultured bacterium. RNAcentral describes it as "partial 16S ribosomal RNA". It matches the Rfam family "Bacterial small subunit ribosomal RNA", at positions 28 to 507 of the family's 1533-position model. The record is from RNAcentral.
GACGAACGCUGGCGGCGUGCUUAACACAUGCAAGUCGAACGGAAAGGCCCUGCUUUUGUGGGGUGCUCGAGUGGCGAACGGGUGAGUAACACGUGAGUAACCUGCCCUUGACUUUGGGAUAACUUCAGGAAACUGGGGCUAAUACCGGAUAGGAGCUCCUGCUGCAUGGUGGGGGUUGGAAAGUUUCGGCGGUUGGGGAUGGACUCGCGGCUUAUCAGCUUGUUGGUGGGGUAGUGGCUUACCAAGGCUUUGACGGGUAGCCGGCCUGAGAGGGUGACCGGCCACAUUGGGAAUGAGAUACGGCCCCGACUUCUACGGGAGGCCGCAGUGGGGAAUAUUGCACAAUGGGCGGAAGCCUGAUGCAGCAACGCCGCGUGCGGGAUGACGGCCUUCGGGUUGUAAACCGCUUUCGCCUGUGACGAAGCGUGAGUGACGGUAAUGGGUAAAGAAGCACCGGCUAACUACGUG